Long non-coding RNA from Panthera uncia (snow leopard), 539 nucleotides. RefSeq lists it as uncharacterized. NCBI's taxonomy places the organism in Eukaryota, Metazoa, Chordata, Mammalia, Carnivora, Felidae. The record is from RefSeq and is a predicted model, not a curated record. The transcript is spliced from 5 exons.
UCCCGUGCUUCGCCGAAAGCCGGGGCGUGGGAAGGGCCUGCAGCGCGAGGUCCGGCUGUGUGUCCCUUUCAGCGCUUGGGGCCGAGGCCGGGAUGGCUCCUUGGAGCUUCCAGUAUUUACUUAGCACCUACUACGUGCCCAGCCCUGUGGAUACAGAGAUGAACAAAGCCUAAUUCCUGCUCACAAAAGACUUUCUGACUAGUGAUGCGACUACCCUGUUUAUGAAGAGAGAAAAACUGAGUGCCAGGGAAGGAGCAGACAGGCUCAGGAUCACACAGCUUGAGCAAAGUGCGAACCAGAAUGAGAGGAAGAGAGAGGGAGAGACGGAGAAUGAGAGGGAGAGGAGGUGGUUCUCUUCCCAAUUUGACCCACUCCAUGGGACUCCUGCCUCGAGGACAGAGGGACUGCCCUGGUCUGAAGUAAUUUCCUCUACAAAUUUCAAGUAAAUCCUUGAAAUGGAGCAAAGUCCACUCCAAUGCAAAACUUGUCUCUGUUCUGCGUGUGGAGCCCAUCUCAAAUAAAGGUGGGCGAAGCUCUUA